ACCAGGCUGGCCUCAAACUCAGAAAUCCGCCUGCCUCUGCCUCCCAAGUGCUGGGAUUAAAGGCAUGCGCCACCACUGCCCGGUGUAACCCCUCUUUUUUUUUUUUCUUUUUUUUCUUUUUUGUUUUUUUUUCCAAAGAUUUAUUUAUUAGAAUAAGUUCACUGUAGCUGUCUUCAAAUGCACCAGAAGAGGGUAUCAGAUCUCAUUAUGGGUGGUUGUGAGCCACCAUGUGGUUGCUGGGAUUUGAACUCAGUACCUUUGGAAGAGCAGUCGGUGCUCUUACCCACUGAACCAUCUCACCAGCCCCAUAACCCCUCUUUUUAAUUUCAUUUUUUCCACCUUGAUGAUAGAAGAUUCCUGUUCUGAGAAUACCAUUGUGAUAGGGAAGGGACUAUUAUUGAGUGGGAGAGGGGCAGAGAGCCUCUCAUAGGUAUGAGGCCCUGGAUUCUAUCCCAAGCACUGCCCCCAAAGAAAAACAAAAACAAACCCCAAUUACCAAAGAAACAAUGUAUCAUUUUAUAGUAAUACUGCAACCCCCAGGGUAGAACUAUUUAACCAAAUAAUUUUUUCCUUUUUUUGUGAUAUGCCGAAGGCUACAAUCUGCCUUUCUUUGAGUUGAGAAAGUAAUAGGUAGUCAUCUGUAUGGAGAAAGUGACCUUUAGGCUCAGAAACAGAUCGCUCUCAGAGGCUCAGGGAAAAGAACCAUGACAAGGAGCAGCUAAAGAAAGAAAGACUCCUUUCCUUGGGGUUAAGGAAAAUUCAAUGUUGUAGACCCCUUUUUAGUAGUAUCAUUCCACAAAUGAGGUUUAAUAAAAUCUAUGAAAGGUGUGGUGGUCAUAAACAAGGAAGAUGGGAGAGGACAGAGAUUUAAGCAAUGAGGAUUAAAGCAGGAGUCAAGAAGGGAGGAGAUGGAUUAAAACUGCUAACAGGGACAAGGCAGCUGGAGAGUAUUCCCUCCAGGGAGUAAAGGAAAGAAGCCAGAGACUGUUGGGUUAGUUAUUGAUUCAGAGGAGGGAAUCACUUCUGGAGAAAAGCUAGACGAAGGAAUGAAUCUACUGCUCAAAGAGAUGCACUGAGAUUUCUAAGCAGGGAUAGGUUGCUUUUUCCUUUAUGUGAUGUUUCUCUAGAAGCUGUUGCUUUAAGACUUAAGUAGAUGCUGAUGUUCAUGGAUUUUAAGUCCUGUAUUCCUUUCAUUGAGUAUUGUCAGCUCAACUCCUUGGCACACAAUUGUUUUCGAUUUGCAUUCCUUUAUAUGUUAUUUUUUUUUCUACCUGGUAUAAUUCUGUGACUUCUUUUAUAUAGGAUUUUUAUUUAAUAUUUAAUGUUUUAAGUUUUCAGACAAUUGAUUUUUAUGGGUUCAAAUUAUGUGCUACAAAACCCCAAAGAAGGCGUUAAAGAAAAAAAAAUUUUCCUCGACUGUUGAUUUGACUAUAAUCAUUUGUUUGUUUGUUUGUUUGUUUAUAAAGAAACAGGGUGUCAUGUAGCCCAGGCCUGCCUCAACUCAUUCUAAACAAGGCUUAACAUUAAAUCCUGAUUUUUUUUUUUUUUUUUUUCCUCUCCACUUACCAAGUGGUAGGCUUACAUGUGAGUGUUACUAUACGGAAUCCUGCUUCCGUUUUUAUGGGAUCUUUAUUUAAAUAAUCCAGAUAAUGUAGUGAUUCUCUGGCAGGGCUACCAUUAAACAUUACCACACAUGGAAAUUAGUAUCUUUUCUAAUGGUGUCUGUAAUGUAAAUAGGGCCUUUUCUCUGUUCCCUAACUCCAGCUAUUUGUAUUAUUGGUCUUGUUUGCUAUGAUGCUAACUUUGGAGCUUGUAUGAUCUGGAAAACUUAAAAAUAGUCAUAGCUGGUGAGGACAUGGUGGCACACUCACCUUUAACCCCAGCAGAGGAGGCAGAGGCUGGUGGUUCUCUAUGAGCUCUGAAGCUACAUAGUAACAAUUCCAGUACCCUGGAAGCUGAGGCAGAAUUAGGCUGGCCUGGCUACAGAGUAACACCUAUCUGAAGUAAAGAAGGAAAUGAGAAGAAUGAUAGCUUAAAGUUAAAUGGCAGAUCCUGAUUGUUGGGUAGGGGUGAGCCCAAAAUUCUGUGUUUCAAACAAAUGUCAGAAUUAUCCCAGUGUUGUUGGUCCUCAGACCUUACUUUGAGCAACACAGUUGCCUAGUCAUGGGUUCUAGUGUUGGUGUUGAGAACUUUCAUAAUCAGAAGUACUAGAUCUUACAAAACUCUGGCAUGCUGAUGCUUAGAAAUUUUAAAUUUAUAGGUAGAUUAUAAAGUUCCUUGACUCCUACUUUUUUUUUUCUUUUUUUAAAUUUAUUUUAUGUAUGUGAUUACACUGUCACUCUCUUUGGGCACGUCAGAAGAGGGCAUCAGAUCCCGUGACAGAUGGUUGUGAGCCACCACGUGGUUGCUGGGAAUUGAACUCAGGAUCUCUGGAAGUGCACUCUUAACCUCUGAGCCAUCUCUACAGCCCGACUCUUAUCUUUUAUAGUAACAUUUUGUUAUAUUUGUCUCCAUUGUGCUAAAACAUUGUAUUAUUUAGCCAAAUGGUGAUGUCACCUUUGGGGAAGCAGAGAGUUCAAGGCCAGCCUGGUCUACAGAGCUAAUUCCAGGACAGCCUAGGCUGUCUC
This 2627-nucleotide long non-coding RNA is filed under the name Mus musculus (house mouse). Its description in RNAcentral is "long non-coding RNA chr8:105655886-105658513". The record is from RNAcentral. Lineage: Eukaryota; Metazoa; Chordata; Mammalia; Rodentia; Muridae.